This 340-nucleotide ribosomal RNA is filed under the name uncultured soil bacterium. RNAcentral's name for it is "bacterial SSU rRNA". It matches the Rfam family "Bacterial small subunit ribosomal RNA", at positions 26 to 363 of the family's 1533-position model. The record is from RNAcentral.
AGAGUGAACGCUGGCGGCAGGCCUAAUACAUGCAAGUCGAACGGCAGCACGGCAGAGCUUGCUCUGUGGGUGGCGAGUGGCGGACGGGCGAGGAAUACAUGGGAAUCUGCCCAGUCGUGGGGGAUAACGUAGGGAAACUUACGCUAAUACCGCAUGCGCCCUUCGGGGGAAAGCCGGGGACCUUCGGGCCUGGCGCGAUUGGAUGAGCCCAUGUCGGAUUAGCUAGUUGGCGGGGUAACGGCCCACCAAGGCGACGAUCCGUAGCUGGUCUGAGAGGAUGAUCAGCCACACUGGAACUGAGACACGGUCCAGACUCCUACGGGAGCAGCAGUAGGGAAUA